GAUGAACGCUAGCGGCAGGCCUAAUACAUGCAAGUCGAGGGGCAGCAGGUGUAGCAAUACAUGCUGGCGACCGGCGCACGGGUGCGUAACACGUAUGGAAUCUGCCCAUUACUUGGGAAUAGCCCGGAGAAAUCCGGAUUAAUGUCCAAUGAUAUUAAGGAAUGGCAUCAUUUUUUAAUUAAAGAUUUAUCGGUAAUGGAAGACCAUGCGGCUGAUUAGCUAGUUGGUGAGGUAAUGGCUCACCAAGGCGACGAUCAGUAGGGGACCUGAGAGGGUGAUCCCCCACACUGGUACUGAGAUACGGACCAGACUCCUACGGGAGGCAGCAGUAGGGAAUAUUGGGCAAUGGGCGCAAGCCUGACCCAGCCAUGCCGCGUGCAGGAAGACGGCCUUCUGGGUUGUAAACUGCUUUUGAUCGGGAACAAAUAGCCCUUGCGAGGGAAGUUGAGUGUACCGAUAGAAUAAGCACCGGCUAACUCCGUGCCAGCAGCCGCGGUAAUACGGAGGGUGCAAGCGUUGUCCGGAUUUAUUGGGUUUAAAGGGUGCGUAGGCGGUUUUUUAAGUCAGUGGUGAAAGCCAACAGCUCAACUGUUGAACUGCCAUUGAUACUGGAAGACUUGAGCACAGACGAGGUAGGCGGAAUUUAUGGUGUAGCGGUGAAAUGCAUAGAUACCAUAAAGAACACCGAUUGCGAAGGCAGCUUACUAGGCUGUAACUGACGCUGAGGCACGAAAGCGUGGGGAUCAAACAGGAUUAGAUACCCUGGUAGUCCACGCUGUAAACGAUGAUUACUCGAUGUUCGCGAUAUACAGUGAGCGUCCAAGCGAAAGCGUUAAGUAAUC
This 842-nucleotide ribosomal RNA is filed under the name uncultured bacterium. RNAcentral's name for it is "bacterial SSU rRNA". It matches the Rfam family "Bacterial small subunit ribosomal RNA", at positions 28 to 869 of the family's 1533-position model. The record is from RNAcentral.